This 301-nucleotide ribosomal RNA is filed under the name uncultured bacterium. Its description in RNAcentral is "partial 16S ribosomal RNA". It matches the Rfam family "Bacterial small subunit ribosomal RNA", at positions 509 to 807 of the family's 1533-position model. The record is from RNAcentral.
CAGUAGCCGCGGUAAUACAGAGGGUGCAAGCGUUAAUCGGAAUUACUGGGCGUAAAGCGCGCGUAGGUGGUUUGUUAAGUUGGAUGUGAAAUCCCCGGGCUCAACCUGGGAACUGCAUCCAAAACUGGCAAGCUAGAGUAUGGUAGAGGGUGGUGGAAUUUCCUGUGUAGCGGUGAAAUGCGUAGAUAUAGGAAGGAACACCAGUGGCGAAGGCGACCACCUGGACUGAUACUGACACUGAGGUGCGAAAGCGUGGGGAGCAAACAGGAUUAGAUACCCGCGUAGUCCCUGUCUCUUAUAC